This 69-nucleotide transfer RNA is filed under the name human gut metagenome. It matches the Rfam family "tRNA". Rfam says of the family: Transfer RNA (tRNA) molecules are approximately 80 nucleotides in length. Their secondary structure includes four short double-helical elements and three loops (D, anti-codon, and T loops). The record is from RNAcentral. RNAcentral also lists the same sequence under 2 other names.
CGACUUAGCUCAACUGGCAGAGCAACUGAUUUGUAAUCAGUAGGUUGGCGGUUCGAUUCCGUUAGUCGG